Molecule: transfer RNA, 71 nt
Filed under: Neobacillus bataviensis LMG 21833
Lineage: Bacteria; Bacillati; Bacillota; Bacilli; Caryophanales; Bacillaceae
Description: Bacillus bataviensis LMG 21833 tRNA
Rfam family: tRNA
About the family: Transfer RNA (tRNA) molecules are approximately 80 nucleotides in length.
Source: Rfam by way of RNAcentral
GCCAUUAGCUCAGUUGGUAGAGCAUCUGACUUUUAAUCAGAGGGUCGAAGGUUCGAGUCCUUCAGUCGGCA